UUGCGCCUGCGGCGGACCCGGCACGGAUUUAUCACAGCGCUUCGCAGGCAGCCUGUCCGUGUACGGCCCGGUACAUCCCGGAAUUUUCCGGGCUUUAAUGUCUUCU
Molecule: non-coding RNA, 106 nt
Filed under: unclassified sequences
Description: RT-5 RNA
Rfam family: RT-5 RNA
About the family: Clostridium (Firmicutes). Environment (Cow rumen (57))
Source: Rfam by way of RNAcentral